CACUUCACCCUGCCAUCCAGUUGCUUUCCCCAAACGCAAUUACAUUACCAGUUUCUUAUGUAUUUUUCUAGAGACACUCUAUUGCCAACAAGAAUAUCGGUAAUGUAUUUUAAAUUUUUAACAGAAAUUGUAACAUAUAACCUUUCUGAAUCCCCCCCGUGUGUGUGUGUGUGUGUGUGUGUGUGUGUGUGUAUCAACACACAGUACUCAUAGAGCUGUCAGUUUUUACUGACUACAUGGUAUUCCACCUUAUAAACAUACUAAUUUUUUUUGUCUAUCUCAGUUCAUAGUGUAUGGGCCAAGGGAAAAGUUCCCCUCUACUUUCUGAAGUUUCACCGAAAAACCAAUUCACAAAAGGCAGAUUGACAGGAGAAAUGGCAUACAAAUUUAUCAGCAUACAUGGGGGAGAAUCACAGAGUGAUUGCCCAACUUCCCAAUGAGAUAUCUACUCUAUCCAGCAUCCUUCCAUCUUCCGUUGAGGUUGAUCUGCAAGAGCCAAGUCAAGUGGGCUCUGAUGUCCUCUAGCUUGAGGCUUGGUUGGAGACCAGAGGGAGAAAGGAGAGUAAGGUCAGAGUAUUUAUUUCCUUGUCUCCUUCUGCAAAAAGUCACUGUUCUUUUAAAGGCAAAUUACUGUGUUUGGCUUUUCUCUCCUGAUGGGUUAUAGCAACUCUCCCCUGGCAUGUUUCUUUAAUUUUCUCUGCCUCUGUACUUUUGUAUAUAGCUCCCUAAAAAAAUCUCCUGGAAUUUCCCUAUUUUGCAUGCAUGGUCUGUUAUAAGUUGAGAUCCUGAUGGAUAAAUUUUAUUGACUACAUUCUUUUUUAUUUUUUUUCUCCUGACCAAAACAGUGAGAGAUGGAUAUGAUAACCUCAUUUUACUGAGGAAACUGAAGCUUUGGAGCUUGCCACAGGUCAGUCACCCAGCUGAUGAAUGGGAAUUCAAGCUCUUUAUCGCAUUAAAAAGCACUUGCUCAUUCCAAAAACUUAUUCUUUCAGUUUAAAUUAUUUGGCCAGGUAUUGUUCACUUUAGUAUACCUUAUAGUUCUAUUUUCUUUACUUUGUACCUAAAAAAGCUUCUGAUCCAGUGUGUCCCAUGCAGCACUAAAAACUUAGUUUUAACUUGGAGCCGUUAUGUCUCGGUUUCCUUAUCUGUAGAGUGAAAUCAUGUGUUCUCUUCCUCCUGGG
Sapajus apella (tufted capuchin) is the source of this 1181-nucleotide long non-coding RNA. RefSeq lists it as uncharacterized. Lineage: Eukaryota; Metazoa; Chordata; Mammalia; Primates; Cebidae. The record is from RefSeq and is a predicted model, not a curated record. The transcript is spliced from 2 exons.